GAGUUUGAUCAUGGCUCAGAUUGAACGCUGGCGGCAGGCCUAACACAUGCAAGUCGAACGGUAACAGGAAGCAGCUUGCUGCUUCGCUGACGAGUGGCGGACGGGUGAGUAAUGUCUGGGAAACUGCCUGAUGGAGGGGGAUAACUACUGGAAACGGUGGCUAAUACCGCAUAACGUCGCAAGACCAAAGAGGGGGACCUUCGGGCCUCUUGCCAUCAGAUGUGCCCAGAUGGGAUUAGCUGGUAGGUGGGGUAACGGCUCACCUAGGCGACGAUCCCUAGCUGGUCUGAGAGGAUGACCAGCCACACUGGAACUGAGACACGGUCCAGACUCCUACGGGAGGCAGCAGUGGGGAAUAUUGCACAAUGGGCGCAAGCCUGAUGCAGCCAUGCCGCGUGUAUGAAGAAGGCCUUCGGGUUGUAAAGUACUU
This 430-nucleotide ribosomal RNA is filed under the name Salmonella enterica. Its description in RNAcentral is "bacterial SSU rRNA". It matches the Rfam family "Bacterial small subunit ribosomal RNA", at positions 9 to 435 of the family's 1533-position model. Lineage: Bacteria; Pseudomonadati; Pseudomonadota; Gammaproteobacteria; Enterobacterales; Enterobacteriaceae. The record is from RNAcentral.